CGGACGGGUGAGUAACGCGUGACCGACCUGCCCAGAGAUGGGGGACAACCCCGGGAAACCGGGGCUGAUACCGCAUACGCUCGUUCGCCGGUGGGGUGGAUGAGGAAAGUCGCAAGGCGUCUCUGGAGGGGGCUGCGUCCGAUUAGCUUGUUGGCGGGGUGAUGGCCCACCAAGGCGACGAUCGGUAGCGGGUCUGAGAGGAUGGUCCGCCACAGGGGGACUGAGACACGGCCCCCACACCUACGGGUGGCAGCAGCGAGGGAUUUUCGGCAAUGGGCGCAAGCCUGACCGAGCAACGCCGCGUGCGGGACGACGCCCUUCGGGGUGUAAACCGCUUUUCCCGGGGACGAGACUGACGGUACCCGGGGAAUAAGUCUCGGCUAACUACGUGCCAGCAGCCGCGGUAAGACGUAGGAGACAAGCGUUGUCCGGAGUUACUGGGCGUAAAGCGCGCGCAGGCGGCUCUGUACGCUGCCGGUGAAAGCUCCCGGCUCACCUGGGAGAGGUUCGGCAGAACGGCAGGGCUUGAGGGCGGUAGAGGGUGGUGGAAUUCCCGGUGUAGUGGUGAAAUGCGUAGAGAUCGGGAGGAACACCCGUGGCGAAGGCGGCCACCUGGACCGGUCCCUGACGCUGAGGCGCGAAGGCCGGGGGAGCGAAUGGGAUUAGAUACCCCAGUAGUC
Molecule: ribosomal RNA, 680 nt
Filed under: uncultured cyanobacterium
Lineage: Bacteria; Bacillati; Cyanobacteriota
Description: bacterial SSU rRNA
Rfam family: Bacterial small subunit ribosomal RNA
Source: RNAcentral